AUUUAUAAUUAUUGUUAGAAACGUUGAGGCACUCGAUGCACUUCCUGGCUUGUAAACCUGAAAUCAUUGUAGGGGUGGCCUUAACCAAUAUUCCUGCAUAACUAACCCUAUCUUCAUUUAGGGGUU
Juglans microcarpa x Juglans regia is the source of this 126-nucleotide long non-coding RNA. RefSeq lists it as uncharacterized. The record is from RefSeq and is a predicted model, not a curated record. The transcript is spliced from 3 exons. NCBI's taxonomy places the organism in Eukaryota, Viridiplantae, Streptophyta, Magnoliopsida, Fagales, Juglandaceae.